RNAcentral lists this ribosomal RNA (434 nucleotides) under uncultured Lachnospiraceae bacterium. RNAcentral describes it as "bacterial SSU rRNA". It matches the Rfam family "Bacterial small subunit ribosomal RNA", at positions 341 to 792 of the family's 1533-position model. Lineage: Bacteria; Bacillati; Bacillota; Clostridia; Lachnospirales; Lachnospiraceae. The record is from RNAcentral.
ACGGAAGGCAGCAGUGGGGGAUAUUGCACAAUGGGGGAAACCCUGAUGCAGCGACGCCGCGUGAGUGAUGAAGUAUUUCGGUAUGUAAAGCUCUAUCAGCAGGGAAGAAAAUGACGGUACCUGACUAAGAAGCACCGGCUAAAUACGUGCCAGCAGCCGCGGUAAUACGUAUGGUGCAAGCGUUAUCCGGAUUUACUGAGUGUAAAGGGCGCGUAGGCGGGGAUGCAAGUCAGAUGUGAAAUCCAUGGGCUUAACCCAUGAACUGCACUUGAAACUGUAUUUCUUGAGUGUCGGAGAGGUAGACGGAAUUCCUAGUGUAGCGGCGAAAUGCGUAGAUAUUAGGAGGAACACCAGUGGCGAAGGCGGUCUACUGGACGAUAACUGACGCUGAGGCGCGAAAGCGUGGGGAGCAAACAGGAUUAGAUACCCUGGUA